This 553-nucleotide ribosomal RNA is filed under the name uncultured bacterium. RNAcentral describes it as "partial 16S ribosomal RNA". It matches the Rfam family "Bacterial small subunit ribosomal RNA", at positions 355 to 899 of the family's 1533-position model. The record is from RNAcentral.
UGGGGAAUUUUGGACAAUGGGCGAAAGCCUGAUCCAGCCAUGCCGCGUGCGGGAAGAAGGCCUUCGGGUUGUAAACCGCUUUUGUCAGGGAAGAAAUCUUCUGAGUUAAUACCUCGGGAGGAUGACGGUACCUGAAGAAUAAGCACCGGCUAACUACGUGCCAGCAGCCGCGGUAAUACGUAGGGUGCAAGCGUUAAUCGGAAUUACUGGGCGUAAAGCGUGCGCAGGCGGUUUUGUAAGACAGAGGUGAAAUCCCCGGGCUCAACCUGGGAACUGCCUUUGUGACUGCAAGGCUUGAGUGCGGCAGAGGGGGAUGGAAUUCCGCGUGUAGCAGUGAAAUGCGUAGAUAUGCGGAGGAACACCGAUGGCGAAGGCAAUCCCCUGGGCCUGCACUGACGCUCAUGCACGAAAGCGUGGGGAGCAAAACAGGAUUAGAUAGCCCUGGUAGUCCACGCCCUAAACGAUGUCAACUGGUUGUUGGGAAGGUUCCUUCUCAGUAACGUAGCUAACGCGUGAAGUUGACCGCCUGGGGAGUACGGCCGCAAGGUUGAAA